ACGCUCGACACCUACGGGAGCAGCAGUGAGGAAUAUUGGUCAAUGGACGCAAGUCUGAACCAGCCAUGCCGCGUGCAGGAUGACGGCUCUAUGAGUUGUAAACUGCUUUUGUACGAGGGUAAACGCAGAUACGUGUAUCUGUCUGAAAGUAUCGUACGAAUAAGGAUCGGCUAACUCCGCGCCAGCAGCCGCGGUAAUCUGAGCGGGCUGGCAAGGC
This 217-nucleotide ribosomal RNA is filed under the name uncultured bacterium. RNAcentral describes it as "partial 16S ribosomal RNA". It matches the Rfam family "Bacterial small subunit ribosomal RNA", at positions 328 to 539 of the family's 1533-position model. The record is from RNAcentral.